This 657-nucleotide long non-coding RNA is filed under the name Homo sapiens (human). Its description in RNAcentral is "HSALNT0367414". The record is from RNAcentral. Lineage: Eukaryota; Metazoa; Chordata; Mammalia; Primates; Hominidae.
UCUCCAGGAAGGGAAUUUUCUAUUGGAAAGAUGAAUAAUGUAAGAGAUGUCUCUGUUGCUACAUCAAUUGUCGGAAUAAAUUAAGUCCAUCUUGACUUUGCCUUCUACAGGAACUAGUUCUCAGUGGCAGAAGUGAAAUAAACUCAAUACCCAGAAAGUUUGGCUACUCAGAAUCUUCACUGCAAAAAUUUGUCUUCUGUCAUACAAAAUAAUCAUGGUGUCUCUGAAAAGCACAGUACUAUGGAAAGCUAUUUGGGAUUAACAACACCCAAUAGCCUCGGGAAAAAGCCUCAACUGCAAUUCAGGGAAAUGUGACGCACUCUUCAAGAGGGGCCAGCUAAAUUAUCUGACCUUGCACAAUGGAUGACCUCCAACAGUGAUGCAGAAGGGCUCCUCCCAGUCAAUUUUCCAAGACUAUGCAGAGUAAAGCCAUGGCUCUUGAGUGCCCUUAGGAAAUGAAUCAUUUUAAAUGGCUGAACCUGAUUCCUGAGAAUUUACUGCUAGGGGUUGGGAAGUUUACUGAAUUAAGUAUUUCUCUAUUCCUUUAAAUAGAAAUGGUGAACAUAUUAACCUUUCUCAGAGGCUUGGGGUGAACUUUGGUUUUUGUGGCAGAAUAGAUAGGAAACUGCUUUGGUGGAGUGGAAAAAUAACUGGAUU